UACGAGGGAUCCUAGCGUUGUUCGGAAUUAUUGGGCGUAAAGCGUGUGUAGGCGGCUUUGCAAGUCAGUUGUGAAAUCCCCGGGCUCAACCCGGGAAGUGCUUCUGAUACUGCAUAGCUUGAGUACUGGAGAGGAUAGUGGAAUUCCAGGUGUAGUGGUGAAAUACGUAGAUAUCUGGAGGAACACCGGUGGCGAAGGCGGCUAUCUGGCCAUGUACUGACGCUGAGACACGAAAGCGUGGGGAGCAAACAGG
RNAcentral lists this ribosomal RNA (253 nucleotides) under uncultured prokaryote. RNAcentral describes it as "partial 16S ribosomal RNA". It matches the Rfam family "Bacterial small subunit ribosomal RNA", at positions 524 to 776 of the family's 1533-position model. The record is from RNAcentral.